UACGAAGGGGGCUAGCGUUGCUCGGAAUCACUGGGCGUAAAGCGCACGUAGGCGGAUCCUUAAGUCGGGGGUGAAAUCCUGGAGCUCAACUCCAGAACUGCCUUCGAUACUGAGGAUCUCGAGUCCGGGAGAGGUGAGUGGAACUGCGAGUGUAGAGGUGAAAUUCGUAGAUAUUCGCAAGAACACCAGUGGCGAAGGCGGCUCACUGGCCCGGUACUGACGCUGAGGUGCGAAAGCGUGGGAGCAAACAGGG
This 253-nucleotide ribosomal RNA is filed under the name uncultured bacterium. RNAcentral describes it as "partial 16S ribosomal RNA". It matches the Rfam family "Bacterial small subunit ribosomal RNA", at positions 524 to 777 of the family's 1533-position model. The record is from RNAcentral.